AUGCCGGCAGGGGUAAAUUCUACCUCUAUCAUUCUUAUUUCUAAGAUUCCUAAUCCUACUACUUUGUCCCAUUACAGGCCUAUCAGUCUUUGUAAUGUUAUUUACAAAGUUAUCUCUAAAUGUUUGGUGAGUCGUUUGCGGCCACUUCUCGAUGAUAUUGUGUCUCCGGAACAGAGUGCUUUUAUUCCUGGGCGAAUGAUCACGGAUAAUGCUCUUAUUGCCUUUGAGUGUAUACACCACAUCAAACAAGAAAAAGAUCCAACCAAAAGUUUUUGUGCUUAUAAGCUUGACCUCUCUAAGGCUUAUGACAGGGUGGACUGGAAAUUCCUGAAGCAGGUGAUGCAAAAGCUGGGUUUCUCUCAACGGUGGGUGGACUGGAUAAUGUCUUGUGUCACAACGGUGAGAUAUUCUGUCAAACUUAAUGGGACCCUCUUAGAUUCAUUUGCACCGUCACGUGGUCUUCGGCAGGGCGAUCCUCUUUCUCCCUUCUUGUUCCUUUUUUUGGCUGAUGGCUUAUCUGCAAUCCUCAAGCACUAUGUGUCUGUGGGUGAGAUUUCUCCGUUAAAAGUGUGUAGAAGAGGCCCUGGGAUUUCUCAUCUUUUGUUUUCUGAUGACACCAUGCUGUUUUUUGAGGCAUCACGUGCUCAGACUGAGAAAGUUAAAUUGGCUUUGGAUAUUUAUGGUAAGGCAACUGGACAAAGUUUG
This 705-nucleotide ribosomal RNA is filed under the name Triticum aestivum (bread wheat). RNAcentral's name for it is "partial small subunit ribosomal RNA". The record is from RNAcentral. Lineage: Eukaryota; Viridiplantae; Streptophyta; Magnoliopsida; Poales; Poaceae.